This 468-nucleotide ribosomal RNA is filed under the name uncultured bacterium. RNAcentral describes it as "partial 16S ribosomal RNA". It matches the Rfam family "Bacterial small subunit ribosomal RNA", at positions 28 to 507 of the family's 1533-position model. The record is from RNAcentral.
GACGAACGCUGGCGGCGUGCUUAACACAUGCAAGUCGAACGGAAGGGCCCUGCUUUUGUGGGGUGCUCGAGUGGCGAACGGGUGAGUAACACGUGAGUAACCUGCCCUUGACUUUGGGAUAACUUCAGGAAACUGGGGCUAAUACCGGAUAGGAGCUCCUGCUGCAUGGUGGGGGUUGGAAAGUUUCGGCGGGUGGGGAUGGACUCGCGGCUUAUCGGCUUGUUGGUGGGGUAGUGGCUUACCAAGGCUUUGACGGGUAGCCGGCCUGAGAGGGUGACCGGCCACAUUGGGACUGAGAUACGGCCCAGACUCCUACGGGAGGCAGCAGUGGGGAAUAUUGCACAAUGAGCGGAAGCCUGAUGCAGCAGCGCCGCGUGCGGGAUGACGGCCUUCGGGUUAUAAACCGCUUUCGCCUGUGACGAAGCGUGAGUGACGGUAAUGGGUAAAGAAGCACCGGCUAACUACGUG